GUUCUGUAGCUCUGGGAUGGAGAACGCGUCCCACUGCAGGAACAGCAAAGCAGAGGCAAACAAGGCACGAGCAGCCCAUUCAGCUGAUAAGUUUGGGGAACAGCUGGAAUCAAGCAACACUUUAGGAGGUAAAACCAACAGCGUUAGAAGGGGGAGAAGCCUGGCUCAUGCCUGCUGGGCAUCUGCAGGUCCAUCCCAUUGCCAAACACUACGUGGUCAUGCACUAACCAAGGGAAGGAGCCCCAGACGUACCUCCACUUCCCCGGUCUCGUUCUCCUUCAGCACAAAGCUGAGCACGUCGGUGUCGGGGCCGGCCAGCAGCCGCAGACUCACCCUGCCCAUCCUUCCUCAUCUCCUUGAACAGCGCGAACUUCUGUGGGUUAUCCACCACCAUGAACUUCUUCAGCAGCCCCUGGAUCACCUCGCUCACCGUGGUCGUGCUGCUGAUGUGCAGCUGCUUGAUGGCAUCCAGAGGCAGGUAGAAGGAUGUCCUCCUAUCCGUGGUGUCCGCCAGGUUCACCUCCUUGAGGGCAUCGUAGAUGGACUGCGGUCGGAUCCCCGCCGGCACCGUCACCGGGCGGCGCAGCUUCAGGUGCACCUUAAUGAAGCCGGUGUAGGUGCCAUCAUCACUCUGCACAAUGA
This 642-nucleotide long non-coding RNA is filed under the name Gallus gallus (chicken). RNAcentral's name for it is "long non-coding RNA NONGGAT005415". Lineage: Eukaryota; Metazoa; Chordata; Aves; Galliformes; Phasianidae. The record is from RNAcentral.